Molecule: long non-coding RNA, 908 nt
Organism: Mauremys reevesii (Reeves's turtle)
Lineage: Eukaryota; Metazoa; Chordata; Testudines; Geoemydidae
Exons: 6
Source: RefSeq, a predicted model, not a curated record
GUAGAUAAUUCAAGAUGGCUGAGAACAGAGAAGAUUCAGAAAACAGAUGGAUUCUAAUCCUGCGAAUCAUCUAAGAGCAAUGCUUGGUGAUGGAGGACCCCUAUCUUGGAGUGCUGCAGAGGACCUGCAUCCUGGGAGUGGACAUGGGAAAUAGUAGGAAGCUUGAGCACAGGUUGAACAAAGGUGAAGCAGAAUUACUGGUGGUGAAGGGACUGCAUAGAACAAACCCUUUGUUCAAGGAAGGAGAAAGGAGUCUGUGAAAGAGAGAUGACCUAAGCCGCUUCUUGAGCAGAAUAAAUACUAUUUCCUGUUACUGGAUGUUGCAAGUAGAUCCACCUGUGGAAGUCCCACCUCUGUAAUAUCCCAUGAAGGAUUUGCGAGUCUAACUCCCAUUCAUAGUCCCAGGAGAAGCACCUGCUGAGCAUAUUAUCAGCUGUGACAUUCUGGACUCCAGGAAGCUGCAGACCCAACUCCUGGAAAAUGAAGAGUGCUGUCUGAUUAGUACUGAUUUCAGUAGUCAGUCAUCACUAUACGGGAAGACUAAAAUUGAUUCUUGCCAAAGAUUGGUGGUAUGGUGACAGGAGUUUUCCACAGUCUUUGCUGGAUCCAAGAGUGCAUCGGCAAUGGGUAGCCAGUCCUAGAUAGGUAUCCCCAAAUGCAAAAUAUCCUGGAGCUUGUGAUGCAAGUCUCCUUCUCAAACGGUAUCUGGAGGAUCCACCACCUUCUUUGCAAGGUCCUGAAAUUGACAAAAACUAUCAGCCAUCGAUGGUGGUAGAGGCAUGACUACCUCAUUCAGAGAUAAAGACAAAAACAGAGGGGGAAGGACCAGAUGGCCGACAAGAUCAUUUCCAACUCCAGCUUCCCCAAUUCUGUGCUGUUCUUUCACCAUCCUGAAAGGCCUUUUCCCC